Molecule: ribosomal RNA, 497 nt
Filed under: uncultured bacterium
Lineage: Bacteria
Description: partial 16S ribosomal RNA
Rfam family: Bacterial small subunit ribosomal RNA
Source: RNAcentral
GAUGAACGCUGGCGGCGUGCCUAAUACAUGCAAGUCGAGCGAACAGACGAGGAGCUUGCUCCUCUGACGUUAGCGGCGGACGGGUGAGUAACCCGUGGAUAACCUACCUAUAAGACUGGGAUAACUUCGGGAAACCGGAGCUAAUACCGGAUAAUAUAUUGAACCGCAUGGUUCAAUAGUGAAAGACGGUUUUGCUGUCACUUAUAGAUGGAUCCGCGCCGCAUUAGCUAGUUGGUAAGGUAACGGCUUACCAAGGCGACGAUGCGUAGCCGACCUGAGAGGGUGAUCGGCCACACUGGAACUGAGACACGGUCCAGACUCCUACGGGAGGCAGCAGUAGGGAAUCUUCCGCAAUGGGCGAAAGCCUGACGGAGCAACGCCGCGUGAGUGAUGAAGGUCUUCGGAUCGUAAAACUCUGUUAUUAGGGAAGAACAAAUGUGUAAGUAACUAUGCACGUCUUGACGGUACCUAAUCAGAAAGCCACGGCUAACUACGUG